GACGAACGCUGGCGGCGCGCCUAACACAUGCAAGUCGAACGAGCGAGAGAGAGCUUGCUUUCUCGAGCGAGUGGCGAACGGGUGAGUAACGCGUGAGGAACCUGCCUCAAAGAGGGGGACAACAGUUGGAAACGACUGCUAAUACCGCAUAAGCCCACGACCCGGCAUCGGGUUGAGGGAAAAGGAGCAAUCCGCUUUGAGAUGGCCUCGCGUCCGAUUAGCUGGUUGGUGAGGUAACGGCCCACCAAGGCAACGAUCGGUAGCCGGACUGAGAGGUUGAACGGCCACAUUGGGACUGAGACACGGCCCAGACUCCUACGGGAGGCAGCAGUGGGGAAUAUUGCACAAUGGGGGAAACCCUGAUGCAGCGACGCCGCGUGGAGGAAGAAGGUCUUCGGAUUAUAAACUCCUGUUGUUGAGGAAGAUAAUGACGGUACUCAACAAGGAAGUGACGGCUAACUACGUGCCAGCAGCCGCGGUAAAACGUAGGUCACAAGCGUUGUCCGGAAUUACUGGGUGUAAAGGGAGCGCAGGCGGGAAGACAAGUUGGAAGUGAAAUCUAUGGGCUCAACCCAUAAACUGCUUUCAAAACUGUUUUUCUUGAGUAGUGCAGAGGUAGGCGGAAUUCCCGGUGUAGCGGUGGAAUGCGUAGAUAUCGGGAGGAACACCAGUGGCGAAGGCGGCCUACUGGGCACCAACUGACGCUGAGGCUCGAAAGUGUGGGUAGCANACAGG
RNAcentral lists this ribosomal RNA (735 nucleotides) under uncultured bacterium. RNAcentral describes it as "bacterial SSU rRNA". It matches the Rfam family "Bacterial small subunit ribosomal RNA", at positions 28 to 776 of the family's 1533-position model. The record is from RNAcentral.